AACCAAAUGCCUGGAAAACAUUUAAGGAGACCAAACCUACCAGCAUCAAAGUUUUUCAGAGUGUCAAGACAGACCUUUCCAAUUUGUGACCCAUCAGCUUGUUUUGCACCGGAUUUCUUGUUCAGUGGCAAGAUUAAGGUGAAAAUGCAGAGAAAACCAAGCACAAGGCAAACUCUAGAGGCUCUUCAAGGUUCAUUGCUGUGUGGUAGUAUUUGCUUCCUUACAGAUUCCUUUAAUCACUUCAGAUCCCACCAGUUUUUAUAUUGGACAAGGAUAACCUGUGUAAGUUCUUUUUGCCUUUUUUUUUUUUUCUCGAAGAAUUUCAUUUGUUAAGAGAUAAAGUGUUAAAAUAAUAGUGUUAACUGGUUGUGCCUCCCAAGGCCGAAACAACUGCUAGCACCUAGUUGUGAUAGCUGGUAAUCAGUCACUGUGGAGGAAUUUUGCACAAUUGUUUUAAUUCAGCUUCAUUGGAGGGUUUUCAAACAUGUUCAAGGUUAUGCCACAGCAUCUCAGUUGGAUUUCAGUCUGGCCUUUAACAGCGCCGUAGAAAGAGAGAGUUAUGACACUCCCAUUGACUUCUAUAGAAAGAAUGGAAUGCGGAAGUCACGUGGUUCAUGGAGCUGCUAAUAGUUCCAAACACCAGCAGCUCCAGCAUUGGACGUAGUUCAUUCUCGGUGCUUCGUAAGGAUUUUUUACGGUAAGUUGAUGAAAAUACAACAUUAUAUUGAUAUUGUGAGGCUUUAGUUUACUGUUCUGUAUCGCAGUUUAGCAAUAAUAUUUUAUAUCGCCAGGUUUAGUUAAUUAAGCAUGUUAACUCGCUUGUUGUAUUUUAACUGCAGCUAGCUCAUUGUAAGCAUGGCGGGUUUUAGACAGGUCUAUCUCAUUGUGUCUGAUUCAGCAUUUUAAAAUGUCCAUUACAGCUUACAUUCUUAACGUUGAUAAUUGUCUAAUUUUUAUUGUAAUUCCAACUACUGAACUAGCACAUCUUGAAAAAUACUGUGAUAUUGACAUGGUUAAUUUAGUUAAAGUUAUAGAUUGUUUGUCAAUGACGGCCACAUAAAUGGGGACAUUAUCAUUAAACGUGAUUGUGAAGAUGAGUCAUUUUUUAUUAUUCUUUUCCAGGUAAACCACAUGAAAAUGGCUUAAGUGAACUGCUGAACCUUGUUGCAUACAAAGCACCACAAAGAGUAUCCAUGGCAUUUGGGAGCUCCAUGACAGAUUUAUUGGACCUUGUUCUGAAAAGUUUUUCAACUUUCUGGACCAGACUGAAGGCGUCAUGUGAUUGCUGACACAGCACCCCUGGUUUGAAUUCCUUCAGUAUCAAUAGGGUAAUGUGCUCUCCUUCUGAAGUGUCAUCAUUUUGCUUAAUUGAACUUGAGCAUCCAUCACAGAUGUUGGAAUGUUUGAUGACUUUAUUCACAAUGUAUCCUGUAAGAUGGUACAGAAUACAUGUUUCGCUGUUGGUGAGGUCAGGAGUAUCUGUGUCUCCAAUCAGCUGCUCCACACAAAGGCCAGGACUGGGAAAUGUCUCCUUAAUGUCCAGGAACUCUGCCAGAAGACUGCCGCCAUCCUCCUGAUAGCUUCCUGAUUUUACAGUUGUAAGGAACUGCCCAACUGAGAUUGAUCUCAGUGCCUGGUGAAACUCCUCUGGUGUUGGGACUGGAUUCCUUUGCCGUAUGCAGCUGAACAAGUUUUCAAGGCAGUCCUGAGUAAACCUGCUUGUCAACACAAACAUGUGUCCAUGGUCAAGCAUGUCUUUCUGAAUACCUAAAAUUGUAGAUGUUGCCAUCACAAUUCCUGUUUGCACUGGUUUCCAGCUUCCUGUAGGACCUAUUCUAAGUCCACUGAAGAGUGCCAACAUGUCUUGGAGGAAUUUAAUAGCUUUGUGGUACUCUUCCAUCUUGUGCCUGCUGAGUCCCAUCACAGGGUGGCGAGAGGACAUGAGAUCAAACCAGUGGUUCACCUGCUCCAGAAACCAGGCUGUUGUCAGAUUAGAGGAUCUAUUGGGAAGCCAUACAUAUGGAUUCCUUUCUCUGACCGAUAGGUGCCUCCAAAUGCAGCACACCCAACCAUGGGAGGUCAGCAGAUGUGGUGACUGACUUAAAAAGGAGCUGCUGCCAAUGAUGCCAAGGAGGAUGAACCCUCAUUCAGACUUGGGCACAUUUCUACCUUGUCCAGAUUUGAUCAGAUACAGUUUAUUGGUGCAGAUGUAAUUAAUAAACUGUAUAAAUGGUAGUGCAAGUACUUAUUUAUUAAAGCU
This is a long non-coding RNA of Girardinichthys multiradiatus, 2260 nucleotides long. RefSeq lists it as uncharacterized. The transcript is spliced from 4 exons. Lineage: Eukaryota; Metazoa; Chordata; Actinopteri; Cyprinodontiformes; Goodeidae. The record is from RefSeq and is a predicted model, not a curated record.